CCCUUAGAUGUUCUGGGCAGCACGCGCGCUACAAUGGUCUUCGCAAACGGAUGCAUUCUCGAAGGAGAAUGCCAAUCUUGGAAUCUAUGCCUUGUUCGGGACAGUUGCUUGCAAUUUUUCGACUCGAACCAGGAAUUCCUUGUAAUCGUGAUUCAUCACAUCACGAUGAAUACGUCCCUGCCCUUUGUACACACCGCCCGUCGCUCCUACCGAUCGAAGAGUUAGGUGAAUUGUUUUGAUCGAUAAGAUUUGACUAUGGUCAACUCUCGUUGUGAAAUUCUGUGAAUCUGACUGUUUAGAGGAAGGAAAAGUCGUAACA
This 319-nucleotide ribosomal RNA is filed under the name uncultured eukaryote. Its description in RNAcentral is "partial 18S ribosomal RNA". It matches the Rfam family "Eukaryotic small subunit ribosomal RNA", at positions 1470 to 1796 of the family's 1831-position model. The record is from RNAcentral.